Molecule: long non-coding RNA, 721 nt
Organism: Hevea brasiliensis (rubber tree)
Lineage: Eukaryota; Viridiplantae; Streptophyta; Magnoliopsida; Malpighiales; Euphorbiaceae
Exons: 2
Source: RefSeq, a predicted model, not a curated record
GGCAUGGUUCUGCUGUGCUUUGUGGCAAUUUGUUAAAGUGCCUGGAGCCCUUGAUUUAUUUUUCUGUUGUGCACAAAUACACAUUGUUAAGAUAUGAUAUUGCUGACUUGACUAUUCUAAGCUGUCGUCCUUUGGAAUCUACUUAUUUAAUCAUUUUCUAAUUGAUUCCUUUGAAUUUUGUUUUGUGCAGUACAUUCCUGGAACUAAGAUGGUCUUCCCUGGAUUGAAGAAGCCACAGGAGCGUGCAGAUCUCAUUGCCUAUCUGAAGGAUGCAACUGCCUGAUCUUCUUGAUUAGAGCCUCUCAAUGAUGUGCUUCCUGAACCAGUUAUGUUUUGAGAUUGCAUUAGUUGCUCGACUUGACAAACAAGCAUUGAUUUUCUUUACGUAACACAUGUCGAUUUAUUUAAUUUGGCACCAGUUCUUUCCUUCAUUGUUAUUCAUGGAAUCAACAAUUUGUUAUCGCUGUUUAUUUCAUCUGGGUGACUCAGGUCAGGUCUUUAGAGAUGGUAAAACUUGAUGAACUUCAUUGGUAAAAAGGCAAAACCUUUUAGACAUGCAAUUGUCCUCCUGGUUUUCUGGAGUAUGAGUCCCAUAGAUGAAAACAAUGUAGUAGUGUUGGCAGUUCAUGUGAAAUUCUGUGGGAUUGUCUUUGGUAGACUCUCUAGGUUGGACUCUCAUUAUAUAGUGAUAUCAUUGAGAAAGGACCUUUGAAUUUGCAAA